CCCUUAGAUGUUCUGGGCCGCACGCGUGCUACACUGAGUGGAUCAGCGGGUCAGGUUGCGCGAAAGUGUUUCCUAAUCUUGAAAUCCGCUCGUGAUGGGGAUUGACGGUUGCAAUUUUCCGUCAUGAACGAGGAAUACCUUGUAAGCGCGGGUCAUCAUCCCGCGCUGAAUACGUCCCUGCCCUUUGUACACACCGCCCGUCGCUCCUACCGAUUGAGUGGUCCGGUGAGGCUUCGGGAUCUGAGCAAAGAGAGCGUUUCGCUCGUUUUGCCCGGAAAACUCAGUCGAACCUUAUCAUUUAGAGGAAGGAGAAGUCGUAACA
Molecule: ribosomal RNA, 322 nt
Filed under: uncultured eukaryote
Lineage: Eukaryota
Description: partial 18S ribosomal RNA
Rfam family: Eukaryotic small subunit ribosomal RNA
Source: RNAcentral